Molecule: long non-coding RNA, 726 nt
Organism: Gadus morhua (Atlantic cod)
Lineage: Eukaryota; Metazoa; Chordata; Actinopteri; Gadiformes; Gadidae
Source: Ensembl
AAACAAUGAACAGAGAGGCAGAGAAAUCCGUGUAUGAAUAAUGACUGGCAUUCGUAAGUCCCCGGCAGACUUUGCAUCGUCCGAUCAUCCGGAUACGAUUGCCAUGAGGGAUCUGGCCUCCAAGAACUAUAUGACGUCUACACAAAGGAGCAGAAGAUGGAGCACGCCUACACGUUUGGGGUGAUGGUCUGCAACCAGACCAUACGAUACACCGAGAAGGCGAAGCACACCGAGAAUGUGCGCAGGCAGCAGCUUGAGUGCCUGCGGAGGGAGGUCGAACGACUUGGACAGGAUCUCAGGACAUCCCAGGCCAGCUUGUCUGUUACGCAAACAGAUCUGGACGCCACACAGAACGAAUUCCUGGCCACGCUGCACGAACGCCUCCCAAGAACUGGACUACCUGGACAGCACGACCGCCUCCCAAGAUGCUGAUUCGUCCCAUCCAUUGUGUUCGACGAUGGUCGAUGACAUGGACGAGAACGGGAACGGAGAUCCACUACCAGGCCCCUGAAAAACUACUACCAGGCCCCUGUAAAGUAGUGUAGUUUGAUAUUGUAAAUAGUGUUUUUUUUUUAAUAUAGUGUGACAUUGUAAAUAGUAUGCUUUUUUUUAAACUUCAAUAAAAACUCAAACAUCUGAUAUUGUUUAAUAUUUACACAAAUUACACAAAAAGGAAUGUUUCUCAAUUCGGGUUCUUUUCUGUGCUUGUGUGCUUGCGUUCUUGUG